This 915-nucleotide long non-coding RNA is filed under the name Numida meleagris (helmeted guineafowl). RNAcentral's name for it is "lncRNA (ENSNMEG00000016286.1)". The record is from RNAcentral. Lineage: Eukaryota; Metazoa; Chordata; Aves; Galliformes; Numididae.
UUCAUAGAGCCCGGUUAUAAAUAUAAGCAGUGACAUCUUACAGCAGGGUGUAGGGGGAACAUCCUGGGUAAUUAAUUUGAGCUGACAGUCAGUAUCACGAGACACAUGAUAUCUGCUACAGUGACAGCGUUAUCUGUGGGAGAGGAGGGUCAGUUUCCAUUCAGAAACACUAUUUUCCAGAGAUUUGGAACCUGACACAAUAAUUGGCAUUAAAAAGUUUUCCAUUCAGUAACAUAAUUUCCCCUUGAAGAACUGAUGACCAAAACCGAGAUGGCUAUUUUAGGAUAGCUGAAGACGGAAAACAGAGGGGAAAAAAACACCCAUUAUAGUACUAUCAGAGGUUCAAUUGCUUUCCAUUAGCGAAGGCAGCUGCAGACUGCUGAAAACAACAAAUGCUUCAGAGCUGUAGUUUUCCUGCCUUCCAGGACCUAUUCUGCUGUGGCCAAAAAUGUACUGAGCUGCCAGCACAACAGUAGAACAUUCCCUCAACUUGUUACAUGAGAAAUUGCUAGUUAAUCUGAGCAAGCUGGAGAUGAAAGCAAAGCAUUAAAUGACUGAGGAACUGACUGACAGAGAGAUGGCAAUGGAUUAGAGGAAGUUACUCAAGGGUCUGAUCCUGUAUCGGAACUUCUAUUGGCCUUGCUGUGCAGACCUUGCCUUGCUGUGCAGACCUUGCCUUGCUGUGCAGUUGGAAGGCAGCUCUGGCAUUUUUCUGAAAAGCACUGGGAGGCAUCAACCACAGACAGCGGAGAAAGGUGCUCACUCCAAAGCAGUCCAUCAGGAGGACAAUGCUGGAUCACGUUAAUCUCUUCAUAAUGAGUGGGAGCACAGAAGCCAGAAGAAAACUGGACUGAAGAAGCAUCCCAUGCCCUUACUUUCCCAAAUUAAAUAAACUCGAUGUUUAUAUAUGGAGCA